AUCACUGUAUCCCCUCCGAUUCUAUCCUGUCUACCACUUGUUCACAUCUCCCUCCCUCCCCCAGCCAUGGAGAACUGGAGGGCGGCGGCGCUCCAGCGAGCUGCCGGGAGGCACGCAGCUCGCUCCAGCGAGCUCGGAGGCACGCGGAGGCAACGCGGCGACGGCGGUGCUCCGGUGACUGCUUGGAGGGUGGCGAGCUCGGAGGCGGUGCGAGGUAGGCGGCGCUCCCCCGUGCAGCACCCACCUCACUGCUGCUGCAGGCAGCUCUCUCCGUCGCUUCUCCCUAUGCUCGUCUACCUGUCCAUGUUGUCCUCGAUCCCGCCUAGCUAGUGUCGCCCCUCCGAGCUCUUUUCGGACGAGUCCCGCGCGACGCGUCAGCCCGAGGCCGGCGGCGGCAAGCUAGGCAUAGGGCGGCGCGCGGCGGUCAGGCAGCGGGGGCGCGGGGGACUGCAGGAAGGAGCUCCGUGGAGGCGGUGGGAGCUUGGGGGAGGCGUUGCGCGAGAACCACCGCGGUCUCAAGUUGGAAGAAAGACUCACUGUACUUCUCGACGUCCAUGUUGCAUUUGAUAGUGUUGCAGCAUAUUUUUUUUGGAUGUUGCAAAACACUAUAGAUGUGUGCGAAUGUUGCAACAGUUCCCUUUUGGUGUUUCAUCUGUUAAUUUUGAUGUUGCAGCAUUUGUGUUUUAAUGUUUCACCGUGCUCAAUUUUAACCUAUCGUACGGUGAUUUUAUUUGGGAAUGUUCAUGAAAUAUGUGUUCGAUGUUGCGGCGGAAAUUUUUUCCUCAGGAUACGAUGUUUGCAUUGAAUUAUAUUUUUAUAUUUUUUCAAUGUUGCAAUUUUAUAUUUUUUGUGUUUUAAAGCAGCUCCGGACUAAGUUAUUUUUAAGACCCAAUAAGCCUACCACCGCCGUCCUAAGCCCCCGCCCUCGUCCUCCUCCCGGGCCGGCGGCUGCCUCGCCGUCACGCUGCCCGCCCACCCACUGAGCGCCGUUUGCCCUCGCCACUGCCACCGCCCUGCCCGUCUCCGACGGCUCCACCACCGGAGAUGCCGUCACCGUCUAGACCGCGCCCUCCGUCCACCCGCCGCUGGCACAUCCCCGCCCUCCCUAACCUCUCCGACACCACGCCCCCACCGGGGACUUGGCCCAGCCGCCGGCAACCACCACCCCGGCCGGCGGCGCUCCGCCACCUCGCCGCCCGCCCACACACCACCACCCACCGCUUGUUGAUUUCUCCCCCCAUCUUUUCUAACGCCGGCGACCAUUGGAGCUCCCGUGGCCCGGCAACCCCGGAGCCCUAACCUCACCGCCGACCUUGACCACCACCCCGGCCGGCGGCGACUUUGCCGCCAGCAGCUCCCCUAACCUCCCGUCUGCCCCUGUGCACCUCCAAUCCGGAACCCUAACCUUGUGACCAAAGCGGCCGGCGGCGCGCUUAGAGGAGAGGGAGAAGAAGGAGGAAGAAGGAGAACGUACAGCCCACGGAAUCUCAAAUAUUGGAAUUAUUUGAAAGAUGGGUGAGCUUCCCACCUUUUGGACUUUUGGAAGAUGUAUAGAAUUGGCGUAUUUUGCCCGGCCGCACAAGAUGGCCGUAAGGGAGUCUGGCGCCGACCGCGGAGACGCCGACUGCCCCACCGACGGCGGCGGGAGAAGUGGACGGCCAACGGGUUAGCAAUAUGGCAUGGCGCCAGGAUGCCCCCGCCAAAGAGCCUGCAUCUGCAAGUCUGCAUUACUUGUUACUGCGCAGGUGCAGGCCUUUCAGUUCUAACUUCCGGCUCGCCGCGCGGUCAUAGGUUUCGAACGGAGAGGCGCCGCGCGCCGGCUGGCCGGGCGGCGCUGGUGGCCGGUAAUGAGGGCGCUGUACGGCCGUACCAGUGAGCUAUUUAUUGGCGCGACUCCUCGCUCAGUGACUCGUCGUAGUGGCAAGCGCAUUGCGGGUGGGCGUGCAGUGGAGCGCGCUCUAGUAGUGGAGGCCUUUUCGUCAAUCCAACAAGACACGGUCGUAUCUCUAUGCCUUGGUUUGUGCUUUUCUUGCUUUGUUGUAUCAUGGUUCGCUUAAUUCCUUGCUGAUUUGAUCCGUUGAUCGCACGCUCAACUUUUGGUUUAUAUUAUUUUCUCUUGUUGCAAAGUUUUUUUAAUCAUUGCGACCUGAUGAGUUAAUUAGUCAGCACUCAGCAUCAGCCAGUAGGCUAGUAGCUACUCCGGCACCAAUCUUUUUCCUGCCUAGAGUAGUUUUCGCAUCUAGAACAUCCCUGAAAUGUGGGAAUAAGAUGCUUUUGGUUGGAAAUAUCUUGCAAACUUCGAAUAUUACAGCGAAUAAAAUAACAGGCUUGUUGGUACUACUAGAUUAUGUUGUCUUUACAUAGGCUUCAUCCAAGAUUAUGUUCCCUUUGAUUUGUCAAAAAAAGAGAGUGUUCUCUUCAAAAAAAAAAAGGUAAGAAAAGAGAAGUUGGUGUUAGGAUUAUUGUGCAGUGAAAUUCUUGAAUGACCUAGCAAGAAUCCCAAUACAGUAAAUCGCGAGUGGUGGAACUGUUGUAAGAGUAUGUUGGAUUUUUAAGUAUUCCUUUUUUUCCCCUGAGCAACUCAUCUUGGUCAGUACAUAUUUCAUCAAAGAAUCCAGUAAAGUUUGGUUCAUUGAAGGUUAUAAAUCAUCCACAUUCCGUGUAGCUAGGAUACUAUUAGCCUUCCUUUGAUACACGCGAUCUUUGUACUCUCUUAUGUCUAUUAAUUUGUAGAGUUGGACAUCUUUCUCUUAUCAUUUUCUGUUUCAUGGUUGCAAUAAUCCCAGGACAGUAAAUCAAGAGUGGUGGAAGUGGAACUGGGUCAAACAUUCCAUGGAUAACACAACGUGGGUCUUCCUGCAUAUGCUUGCUGAGUAUGUGUGCAUCAAUGGUUCUGUUCACAUUGAAUUUUGCUCUUGAAGUGCCCCCUGAAUUAUGUUGGACUUUUGGUGGGUCAGUCAUGUUCAGGGUAAAUCUGAAUUCCACUGUUCAGCUUAAAUUUCAUAACCUGCUGUUUUUCAGAUCCAUCUAGGAGAACUAUGACUGAGAAUAUUUUUCAAUAACUGAUCCGUUGCCACAGCGACUGAAAGAUAGCAAUUUCAAAUGCAUCAUGAAGAUUGAUACUUUCCAAGCUGUCAUGUUUGCUCCAGGAUCCCACUGCCACCAAGCCUAAAUCUGCAUUAUUGCCUC
Molecule: long non-coding RNA, 3189 nt
Filed under: Panicum hallii
Lineage: Eukaryota; Viridiplantae; Streptophyta; Magnoliopsida; Poales; Poaceae
Description: long non-coding RNA (PHAL_LNC000455)
Source: RNAcentral